GCCACACGCUGGAGAAUACAAGAGCUCACACCCGCUGUGCACAGCACAGGAUGUUCACAGGGCCAGGCUGAUAAUUCCUCCCAAAGGAAUGAACGCUGCCGUCCGUGCCGUGACUCGCAUGGGAAUAUACGUCGGAGCAAAAGUGUUCCUGAUCUAUGAGGGCUACGAGGGGCUGGUGGAAGGAGGCGAGAA
Molecule: non-coding RNA, 192 nt
Organism: Pelodiscus sinensis (Chinese soft-shelled turtle)
Lineage: Eukaryota; Metazoa; Chordata; Testudines; Trionychidae
Source: RefSeq, a predicted model, not a curated record